Molecule: ribosomal RNA, 301 nt
Filed under: uncultured bacterium
Lineage: Bacteria
Description: partial 16S ribosomal RNA
Rfam family: Bacterial small subunit ribosomal RNA
Source: RNAcentral
CAGUCGCCACGGUAAUACGAAGGGGGCUAGCGUUGCUCGGAAUGACUGGGCGUAAAGGGCGCGUAGGCGGUUCGUACAGUUGGAUGUGAAAUUCCUGGGCUUAACCUGGGGGCUGCAUUCAAUACGUGCGGGCUUGAGUGUGGAAGAGGGUUGUGGAAUUCCCAGUGUAGAGGUGAAAUUCGUAGAUAUUGGGAAGAACACCGGUGGCGAAGGCGGCAACCUGGUCCAUAACUGACGCUGAGGCGCGAAAGCGUGGGGAGCAAACAGGAUUAGAUACCCCCGUAGUCCCUGUCUCUUAUAC